GUGGGGAAUCUUCCGCAAUGGACGAAAGUCUGACGGAGCAACGCCGCGUGAACGAAGAAGGUCUUCGGAUUGUAAAGUUCUGUGAUUCGGGACGAAAGGGUUUGUGGUGAAUAAUCAUAGACAUUGACGGUACCGAAAAAGCAAGCCACGGCUAACUACGUGCCAGCAGCCGCGGUAAUACGUAGGUGGCAAGCGUUGUCCGGAAUUAUUGGGCGUAAAGCGCGCGCAGGCGGUUUCUUAAGUCCAUCUUAAAAGCGUGGGGCUCAACCCCAUGAGGGGAUGGAAACUGGGAAGCUGGAGUAUCGGAGAGGAAAGUGGAAUUCCUAGUGUAGCGGUGAAAUGCGUAGAGAUUAGGAAGAACACCGGUGGCGAAGGCGACUUUCUAGACGAAAACUGACGCUGAGGCGCGAAAGCGUGGGGAGCAAACAGGA
This 431-nucleotide ribosomal RNA is filed under the name uncultured bacterium. Its description in RNAcentral is "bacterial SSU rRNA". It matches the Rfam family "Bacterial small subunit ribosomal RNA", at positions 354 to 777 of the family's 1533-position model. The record is from RNAcentral.